RNAcentral lists this ribosomal RNA (244 nucleotides) under uncultured bacterium. RNAcentral's name for it is "partial 16S ribosomal RNA". It matches the Rfam family "Bacterial small subunit ribosomal RNA", at positions 15 to 252 of the family's 1533-position model. The record is from RNAcentral.
GAUCCUGGCUCAGGAUGAACGCUAGCGGCAGGCUUAACACAUGCAAGUCGAGGGGCGAGCGCGGGAUAGCAAUAUCCUGGCGGCGACCGGCGGAAGGGUGCGUAACGCGUGAGCGACAUGCCCGUUGCCCGGGGACAACCGGUGGAAACGCCGACUAAUCCCCGAUGGGAUACUUGUGCCGUCAUGGCACGAUAUUGAAAGUUACGGCGGCGACGGAUUGGCUCGCGUCCGAUUAGCUUGUUGG